RNAcentral lists this ribosomal RNA (256 nucleotides) under uncultured bacterium. Its description in RNAcentral is "partial 16S ribosomal RNA". It matches the Rfam family "Bacterial small subunit ribosomal RNA", at positions 83 to 339 of the family's 1533-position model. The record is from RNAcentral.
CCGGAAGAUUUAGUGGCGAACGGGUGAGGAUCACGUGAGAAACCUGCCCCAGACUUUGGGAUAACAGUUGGAAACGACUGCUAAUACCGAAUGACGUCGGAGAACCGCAUGGUUCACUGACGAAAGGAAAUCCGGUUUGGGAGGGUCUCGCGGCCUAUCAGCUUGUUGGUGGGGUAAUGGCCUACCAAGGCAACGACGGGUAGCUGGUCUGAGAGGAUGAUCAGUCACAAGGGAACUGAGACACGGUCCCUACUCC